CUUAAAUUGAAGAGUUUGAUCAUGGCUCAGAUUGAACGCUGGCGGCAGGCCUAACACAUGCAAGUCGAGCGGAACAGAGUUAUCCGAA
Molecule: ribosomal RNA, 88 nt
Filed under: Vibrio parahaemolyticus
Lineage: Bacteria; Pseudomonadati; Pseudomonadota; Gammaproteobacteria; Vibrionales; Vibrionaceae
Description: partial 16S ribosomal RNA
Rfam family: Bacterial small subunit ribosomal RNA
Source: RNAcentral